This 1083-nucleotide long non-coding RNA is filed under the name Oreochromis niloticus (Nile tilapia). Its description in RNAcentral is "lncRNA (ENSONIG00000028077.1)". Lineage: Eukaryota; Metazoa; Chordata; Actinopteri; Cichliformes; Cichlidae. The record is from RNAcentral.
AAAUAUGUUUACCCCCUGAUGAAACAUUUGAAUUUGUUAUAAAAUCCUAGCACAAAUGUUUCUUGUCAAUAGAAAAUUGUAUGUUUUAGUCAGUAUAAGCUUUUAAUGAUAUAAGUUUGCUUGUGAUAGAAUGCUGCAUGAUGAUCAUUUCCUUGCUUAGAGCUGGUUGUUCUUUUCAUUGUUCAGGACUGAUUGUUCUUUAUAAAACAUGUUCUGAUAUUUGUAUCUGAGUCUUCUCACAGCGAUAGGAAGAAGUCAAACAAGCAGUUCUGACCUCCCACACACACACACACACACACACACACACACACACACACACACACACACACACACAUACGCACAUGCUCACGUCAAAUGUAUUCAUUUUUCUUAUGUAUAAAUAAAGACACGUGCAAGAACAGAGCGCGCAUCACAGGGCCCCCACUCUGGUGUGAGCGUUCUGUGAUCGCCCUUGUAUACAAGUAAAUGCUGCAGCGUCUGUGUGUGUUUCUCCUCUUAGACUCUUAGCUGAAGAAGUGUCUUUAGAAUAAAUCUCUUGACAUUUAUUUUGGUCCUUCGAAGCCGGGGCAGAAAUAUCAGAACUGUUAUCUGUGACUCUGUUCCAGGAUCCAGCACUGAUUCCUGACGCCGUGGGAAGCCAGCACCGAAGUCUAUGCACAGCCCUCUUAGACGAGGCCGAAAGACCUGGGACGCUAAAAUUCGGGUCCAGGCCGGUGUUUUUAGUCUGGUCCACGGCGGUGGGAUUCAGUCUGGCGAUCCGAACCACCAGUGAGACGUCUGAGGGUUGAAGCCAGGUGAUUGGAUCCUCGUCCGAGUACUCCAAAGAAAAAAUUGGAGCUCGCCACGGUGGGAGGGUCCAUACCAAGUGCCUGCAAAAUAGCGGAGAGACCCUCCUGGAUACAUCAGAGCCACUGCAAAAAAGUUGAGGUCCCCGAGGAUUCCACUUCCUCCACAGAAAUCAACUAGUAAAGGAAAGUCUCACUCGCGCUUGGUUGCUUCGGGGGUGAGGGGGGGCAGUGCUGAUUGGGCCCCCGUAGGGUAAGCCCGCACUCCAAUCUCCAUCCGAUCAACUUUAGGGCAGCC